RNAcentral lists this ribosomal RNA (342 nucleotides) under Triticum aestivum (bread wheat). RNAcentral describes it as "partial small subunit ribosomal RNA". The record is from RNAcentral. Lineage: Eukaryota; Viridiplantae; Streptophyta; Magnoliopsida; Poales; Poaceae.
AUGGUUUGGCUUCUCGACGAUGUCUACGACACGAAACACCGGGCCUACAUGACGCGCGAGAAGGAGAUGAAGCUUGAACCUUUGAAGAUUCGGUAUCACGGGGUCUCUGGUCCUGCCAUGCCUUACGAUGAGCGGUACACACCAUACAUCAAGCAGGCAGGACUACUCCCAUGGAUUCAGUUGGUCAGCCGGUCCACGCCGAAUCUGAACGCUCCACUGGUGUCCGCUCUUGCUGAUCGGUGGAGGCCGGAGACACACAGUUUCCAUCUUCGGACUGGGGAGAUGACCAUGAUGCUCGAGGAUGUCUCGUUGAUCACCGGUCUUGCUCUAGACGAUGCUUAA